GCAAAGAUAGCUUAAAAUAAAAGCCAAGCACUGAAAAUGCUUCCAUAUGGGUUUGAUCCCCUUUCUUAGCA
RNAcentral lists this transfer RNA (71 nucleotides) under Echinaster brasiliensis. Its description in RNAcentral is "tRNA-Phe". It matches the Rfam family "tRNA". Rfam says of the family: Transfer RNA (tRNA) molecules are approximately 80 nucleotides in length. Their secondary structure includes four short double-helical elements and three loops (D, anti-codon, and T loops). Lineage: Eukaryota; Metazoa; Echinodermata; Asteroidea; Spinulosida; Echinasteridae. The record is from RNAcentral.